CCCGUGGUAUCCAAAUUUGUCCCA
RNAcentral lists this non-coding RNA (24 nucleotides) under Arabidopsis thaliana (thale cress). Lineage: Eukaryota; Viridiplantae; Streptophyta; Magnoliopsida; Brassicales; Brassicaceae. The record is from RNAcentral.